GCCGGGAUGGCGGAAUAGGCAGACGCGCAUGGUUAAGGACCAUGUGGUUAACGCUGUGGGGGUUCAAGUCCCCCUCCCGGCA
Molecule: transfer RNA, 82 nt
Filed under: Candidatus Saelkia tenebricola
Lineage: Bacteria; Pseudomonadati; Candidatus Omnitrophota
Description: tRNA-Leu
Rfam family: tRNA
About the family: Transfer RNA (tRNA) molecules are approximately 80 nucleotides in length. Their secondary structure includes four short double-helical elements and three loops (D, anti-codon, and T loops).
Source: RNAcentral